GGGCCUGUAGCUCAAUGGUUAGAGCAGUCGGCUCAUAAUCGAUUGGUUGGAGGUUCGAGUCCUCCCAGGCCCACCA
Molecule: transfer RNA, 76 nt
Filed under: Acidobacteriota bacterium
Lineage: Bacteria; Pseudomonadati; Acidobacteriota
Also listed under: 2 other names
Description: Acidobacteria bacterium tRNA-Met
Rfam family: tRNA
About the family: Transfer RNA (tRNA) molecules are approximately 80 nucleotides in length. Their secondary structure includes four short double-helical elements and three loops (D, anti-codon, and T loops).
Source: RNAcentral